Molecule: ribosomal RNA, 396 nt
Filed under: bacterium enrichment culture clone ALO1_GLFRUDD03GQFKE
Lineage: Bacteria
Description: bacterial SSU rRNA
Rfam family: Bacterial small subunit ribosomal RNA
Source: RNAcentral
GAGUUUGAUCAUGGCUCAGAUUGAACGCUGGCGGCAUGCCUUACACAUGCAAGUCGAACGGCAGCACGGGAGCUUGCUCCUGGGUGGCGAGUGGCGAACGGGUGAGUAAUGCAUCGGAACGUAGUCCUGGAGUGGGGGAUAAACGUAGCGAAAGUUACGCUAAUACCGCAUAUUCUGUGAGCAGGAAAGCGGGGACCUUCGGGCUCGCGCUCUUGGAGCGGCCGAUGCCGGAUUAGCUAGUUGGUGAGGUAAAGGACUCACCAAGGCGACGAUCCGUAGUAGGUCUGAGAGGAUGAUCUGCCACACUGGAACUGAGACACGGUCCAGACUCCUACGGGAGGCAGCAGUGGGAAUUUUGGACAAUGGGGCAACCCUGAUCCAGCCAUGCCGCGUGAG